GAACACCAGUGGCGAAGGCGACUUUCUGGACUGUAACUGACACUGAGGCACGAAAGCGUGGGGAGCAAACAGGAUUAGAUACCCUGGUAGUCCACGCCGUAAACGAUGGAUACUAGGUGUAGGGGGUAUCGACCCCCUCUGUGCCGGAGUUAACGCAAUAAGUAUCCCGCCUGGGGAGUACGGUCGCAAGACUGAAACUCAAAGGAAUUGACGGGGGCCCGCACAAGCAGCGGAGCAUGUGGUUUAAUUCGGAGCAACGCGAAGAACCUUACCAGGGCUUGACAUCCCGAUGACCGGUACAGAGAUGUACCUUCCCUUCGGGGCAUUGGAGACAGGUGGUGCAUGGUUGUCGUCAGCUCGUGUCGUGAGAUGUUGGGUUAAGUCCCGCAACGAGCGCAGCCCCUAUCCUUAGUUGCCAUCAGUUAAAGCUGGGCACUCUAAAGAGACUGCCGGGGAUAACUCGGAGGAAGGUGGGGAUGACGUCAAAUCAUCAUGCCCCUUAUGUCCUGGGCUACACACGUGCUACAAUGGCCUGUAACAGAGGGAAGCGAAGCCGUAAGGCGGAGCAAAACUCAGAAACCAGGUCCCAGUUCGGAUUGUGGGCUGCAACUCGCCCACAUGAAGUCG
RNAcentral lists this ribosomal RNA (627 nucleotides) under uncultured bacterium. Its description in RNAcentral is "bacterial SSU rRNA". It matches the Rfam family "Bacterial small subunit ribosomal RNA", at positions 704 to 1328 of the family's 1533-position model. The record is from RNAcentral.